UGACGUAGUUGUCUUCUCCACCAUGAGGUGGCCGCGGAGGAGGGAGCGACGGCACGUCAUAGCCAUGCAUCUGAAAAAAAAACAUCAAAUGAUUUGCUAAAUUUAAUGUACUAAGAAACCCUUACCUGACUAACCAACUGCUGGAAAGCCGCGCUGUGAUGAGGGGCCCGAUCGAGAUCAGCAUGAAGGGCGAAAUCCGAUAGCGCCUUCCACGGGGGUUGGUAUGCCGUCACCUCCAGUGCGAGGGACCCUGCGGGCUCAUGACGCACCGGGGACCCUGCCACUAGGGGCACCCCCAUCGACAUGUACCCCAGGCGACGACCUUCCUGUGAAAAAUGGAGGAUUAUUUGGUGUGGGCGCGAAGAGCUGCCUUUUCCUCGGAGUAAGUCUUCCCGUCUCUAACGAAGCAAGUGCACGACUCGUCGAGGAACUGGCGGCACUCCUGGCACUUGAGGCAGGCGGCGUGCCACUCCAGGUCCGGCGCCACUCGCAGGAUGUACUGGUCGUGGAUCUGAC
Molecule: long non-coding RNA, 516 nt
Organism: Manduca sexta (tobacco hornworm)
Lineage: Eukaryota; Metazoa; Arthropoda; Insecta; Lepidoptera; Sphingidae
Exons: 3
Source: RefSeq, a predicted model, not a curated record